UACGGAAGGUCCCGGCGUUAUCCGGAUUUAUUGGGUUUAAAGGGAGCGUAGGCCGUGGAUUAAGCGUGUUGUGAAAUGUAGACGCUCAACGUCUGACUUGCAGCGCGAACUGGUUCACUUGAGUGUGCGCAACGCAGGCGGAAUUCGUCGUGUAGCGGUGAAAUGCUUAGAUAUGACGAAGAACUCCGAUUGCGAAGGCAGCUUGCGGGAGCACAACUGACGCUGAAGCUCGAAAGUGCGGGUAUCGAACAGG
RNAcentral lists this ribosomal RNA (253 nucleotides) under uncultured bacterium. RNAcentral's name for it is "partial 16S ribosomal RNA". It matches the Rfam family "Bacterial small subunit ribosomal RNA", at positions 524 to 776 of the family's 1533-position model. The record is from RNAcentral.